This 234-nucleotide unclassified non-coding RNA is filed under the name Hevea brasiliensis (rubber tree). Lineage: Eukaryota; Viridiplantae; Streptophyta; Magnoliopsida; Malpighiales; Euphorbiaceae. The record is from RNAcentral.
GACAACCACCAUUCACUUUCAUCAACUGGAGAGAUAUCAGGCAUUAAAUCUCACAAUUGCUGGAUGUUAAUAGUUGACUGUGAGGUCAUCACCUUACUCUGGCAGUUUCAACCAACAGCAUUCCUAUCGACCCCGUGGACCUACUGGUCCAUCAAAUUGGGGUCCAUGAGGCCCUCAUUCAUCACAGCCAAGUCCUUAUGAUUAUCAUCACCGAGGACCUUAUCCUUCUCAAAG